Molecule: long non-coding RNA, 4509 nt
Filed under: Gossypium barbadense (sea-island cotton)
Lineage: Eukaryota; Viridiplantae; Streptophyta; Magnoliopsida; Malvales; Malvaceae
Description: long non-coding RNA (GBAR_LNC003698)
Source: RNAcentral
CUAAAGCCAAUCUUUGCUUCUUCUUUUUUGAAUAUUACCUUUGCAUUCUUACUUAUUAAAAAUGAUAAAUAAUAAUGAUUUGGUUGUGAGUACUGUAAUUUGUUUGUUAGUUUUCAUAUAUUUUGAAUUAAGAGGACGUAAAAUGUAAUUAGUAUCUCUAGAAAUUAUAAAGAAUUACAAAUGUGUUUGAUUAACAGAUUGAAAAUUACAAUAUAAUUUUUUAAGCGCCUAAGAACCUCACUGUUCGAUCACAAGCUUUUAAAAGAUGCUACCAAAGAAGAAGAGGAUGUCAAAGUUGACAGGAAGAGGAAUGUGGUCGAUGUUAUUGGAACGCCGCGUUUUUAUCGAGAUACUCAUUACCAAAAUCGUAGAUGAGAGUCUCCGGCCGACUGUUGAAGAAACUGUAAGAAAGAGUAGACAGGCAAAAAUCUAUGCCUCUCGUUUUGUUUUGAAGCAAUCGUUACUAUUCACUUAUGGAAACCUACAUUCAACAGAAAGCUAACUAUUAUUUUAUAUUUGAUCUUUUGUCUUUUGUCUAAAAUAGAUAGACAAUUUCAUAAUUUGACUAUUAUGUAUAUAAAAGAAUACAUAUUCAUAUAUGCAUACUCCAGGUUUCAAGUAAGAGUGUUGUUUUAUCUCUUGAUGGGGGUGUUUUAGUUUAUAAGUUUAUUUUGCUUCCCUGUGUUGCCAUUGUUGGCCUUGAUCCUUUCUUUUGAAGUUUAGCUGUAAUGUCAUACUUUUUUUCCAUACACGCAGUGGGAAACAGGGGAAAAAGAAAUCCUUUCUUUUGGGGGGUUGUGGUCUGAAUUUUUCGAGGUUUUUAUUUAUUUUUAAUAUAUAGUUUGAUUUCGGAUCAAUUGUUGGUUUUCUUCAUAUUAAUGGAUAAACAGCAAUUGAGUUAUUUUUUAGUAUUUGAAGUGAAGUAAGAAUGUUCUUUUAGUAUUCUUGCUGAAUCACUGUCUAAUUUUUGAGAUUUUACUACUGGGUUUUUGGUUUGAUUUCCCUAUCUUACUGCAAUCCUUAGAAACCGGGUUUUUUCUCUUUGUUUAUUGGAACAACUUGUAAACUUUAGAGUUGAAAUCUUGUCCCAUUUAAAAAUGAGAUGGGGUGGUGGUUGGAAGCAGGGAACAAAGAAAGAAGAACAAGAACGGUGGAAGUAGGGGUGGGGUGGAGGGGAAGAAGAUGAUGAUAGUGGUGGGUCAAAAAAGGGUCAAAAAUAUGAUGAGGCGUGCCUUAGAGAUUUAACGGUUUGCGCGACUAAAAUGAAUUUUUUCUCUCCUGACUACCUGACUAAAUUGUAGACUAAAUUGUAGGUAUUUUUAUUUAAACGACGAAAAUGAAAAUAUUAAAAAAAAUUUAGAUCAUCAACUAGGUAACUUACCUUUUAAAGUUUUAAAACAUGAUAUUUACUAUAAAAAUAUUAAUAAUACUUGUAAAAAAAAUUUCUAAAUAAAUAAUAAAAUUAAAAUUAAAUAAUCAUAUGUUAAUCUAUGAAAAUAGUCGAUAAUGCAUUUGCAACUAACAAUAAUAAUAAAAAAAUAUCAUAUGUAAUUUUAUCUUAUUGCUCUACCAUUCUACAUUUAGUGGGUUAUUCCCUCGUUGACAUUUAACAUUUACUCAUUAAUCUAUUAGACCUUGCCUAAGAGCAAAGUCAUAAAAUAUUUUUUUUGGGUCAGAAUUAAGUUGUAUAUUUUUACAAUAGCAAAAAUACAAUUUCAUAAUUUUAAUAGCCUAUAUUUUUAUAAUCUUUAAAUGACUAAAUCAAUUUUUUCAUUUGAGGGUAAAAUGCACUUUUACCAUAUACUAAUUUAAAUUUUUAUAAGUUGUAAAUGGGCUAAAAGGAAUUUUUUUUCAUUUUAAGAGGACCGAGGCCCCUGUCAACCCCCUAGUUCUGCCCUUAUGUUUGGCCAAUUUUUUUUCAUCGUCUCAUUCGAAAUAUGAAUGUAUAUAGAUUACCAUGAACUUCUUAUAUGUACUCUUCAAAGCUUGGAUCAUCCUAGUUCCAUCUAUUAAUGAAGUUAUGAAAUAUGUAACAUGCUAUCUGAUAUUGAUUUUUUAUACUAUAUUGAGAUGAUAUUGUUAAUAUGAUAAUUUUUUUUAAUAACAAAUGUCAUUUUAAUCACAUUUUGAAUAUUCGAAUGUCUUGGGAUUAAAGAGUUUGCAAACUGGUUUUAGUGAUUGUGUGUAGCUCCAUUCUUUCACAUGGUAUUGUAUCCUAUUACAUGAUACAAGAGAACUUUGUGUACUACAUAAUCAAAAUUUUGAAUUAUCAUAUGUUUUUUUUUAACUUAUUUAGGGUUUUCUACCAAAUAACAUUUUUCAAGUAAACUAAUUUCGUAUUUAUUCAAUUGUAAUAAUUUAUAUAAACCUAAUUUGCUCCUAACUUAUUUUAAGGUGUCAGUGUAAUGACCUAAAAAUUUACGAGCACCGAAAAAGUGAGUUAUAGGGCCUCCAUCUUAGUAAACCGAGUUCAUAAAUAUUGAUUAGAAAUAUUUGCGAGUCUAGUUGUGUGUUUAAUUAGGCUUUAACUAAGUGAAUUUAGCUUAAUUAAGAAUAAUUAGGAAAAAUGACUAAAUUGAAUAAAGAGAAAAAGUUGAAUUAUAUAUUAAAAGAAUUGAAUAAAGAGAAAAAGUUGAAUUAUAUAUUAAAAGAAAAUAUAAAUGACCAAAAUGACAAUUAUGCCAUUUGUCCUAAUUGAGGCGGUAAAUGAAUUGAAAAAUCUAAGAUUUUAUAUUAUUAUAUUAUGAAGUAAAUUAAAAUAAAAACAAAUGUAUGGUAAUAAAAAUAUACAUGUGUAAUAAUUAUAUUUGUACAAUUGUAAUAUAUUUAUUUAAUUAAUUUUUAUUUAAGUAAAUAGAUUUUUAUUAUAUUAAAAUAUUAAAUUAUAUAAAAUAAAUAAAAUAAGAACAAUUGGCUGGUGAUGAUAAUAGACAAGUGUAAAAUAUAUGUGUGUACAAAUGUAACAUCAAUAUUAGUUAUUAAAUAGAUAUUUAUUAUAAAAAUUAUUAUUAUUAUUAUAAAAAGGGAAAGAAAAGAAAAAGGGGGAAAUUGGACCUUAAAUUUGUAAUUCAAUUUAGUUCUUUUUACUUAAUUUUGAUGUUUUAGAAGCUUUAGAACAAUGUUUUAUUGAAAUUAAGUUGAAGUUUUGGAAGUUUUCAGGUUUUUGAACAUAGUUCACGUUGAACAAAAUAAUGAAUUAGGGAUUUGAUUGAAUGAAUUUUAAGUUAGAAUUGAUUAAAGGAUUAAAUUGUAAACUAGGCUAUAAGUUCUGUGUUGUAGGGAUUAAAUUGAAAGAAGUUUUAAAUUAGGGUUUUAUUAUGAACAUUAUAUAGUUAUGUAGAAUAUGGAAGGAAAUUGAAUAGAAAUAAAGUAUGAAUUGAGUUAGAAAAGUAAAUGAGUUAAUUAGGAUUAAAUUGGAAUUAGGGUAUAAAUUAGAUAGAAAUUUAGUUAUUAUUAUUAAUUAGUGCUGUAAUUAAUAGUGUAAAUUAUUAUUAUUUUCAUAACUAACAAAUAACCCGAGGCAUUGACACAAAAAGUAAAGGAGAAAGUUAUCGAGGAGUAAUCGCGAAAUCCGGGUUUGUAUUACUAUAAUUCAAGUUAUUUUUAUUAAAUGUUAAAUUUUUAACUAUAUGUACGGUAAGUAAAUUAUGAGGUAAGCAAUAUUAUGAAAUUGAAAAGGAAAUUGAUUUGAUGAUGGAUAAGUAUUGAUAUAGAAUUGAAUAUUGAUGAAAAGUGAAAUUGAAUUGAUUCGUAAAUGAAUUGAAAAUAAUAUUGAAUUGAGAAAGUGAAUCGAAUACCUUAUUAACUAGUCGGGCUGAGUUGGAUAUAGUUGGCAUGGCCAUAGGAUUGGAAGAGUUCAAGGAUACUUCGACCUCGAGUCGAUGAGACACUGGGUGUCACUAUAUUACUUCGAAUAGAUUAGAUGAGAUACUGGGUACCAACUUAUUUCGGCUUGGCCAAUGAGAUACAGGCCAUCAAUUAUUUACUUCGAACUAUCCAAUGAGGCACUGGGUGCCAUAUUGGAGUGUUUGGUUAGAUUCGUGUAUCCGUCAAAGUCCGAGUCUGUUAAUAAGGGUAAUUAAAGGAAAGGUUAAAUUGAAUAAAAUGAAUUGGUUGAGCCAUUAAAAGAAAUGUGAAAAUGGAACGCGAAUAAAAAAAAAUGUGAUUUGAAUGUGAGUAUGAGAAUGGAAAGCAUGAACCAAUGGUUCAUGAGAUGGAUAAUGGCUCAACAUGAAUGUAUAUGAUUUCAAUUGUUGAUUAGCUAAAUUAAAUUGUAUGAAUAUAUAGAGAAUGACAAAUUUAUGUUUGAAUUAGUUUAGUAAAAAAUGUAUAUAUAAAUAAAUAAAGUUAUAUGAUUUAAUGAUAUGGUUAUUAUGCUUAUAAUUUGAAUUAUGGUAAUAUCACUGAAUAUAAAAUACUCAGCGUACGGUUGUUUUAUUGCGCAGGUUAAUAGGUAUUCAGAGUCUCAGUUCAGCAUCUAGGCGAUCCCGACUCCAAGGCAAAUCUCGG